UUUAAACUACCUUAAUUUAUAUCGCUUGAAAGCGAUAAGGCCGCCAAAUUGUACUACUUUUUUUACUGUGUAAUGUUUUAUUCUUAUGUUUCUUUU
Molecule: long non-coding RNA, 96 nt
Organism: Maniola jurtina (meadow brown)
Lineage: Eukaryota; Metazoa; Arthropoda; Insecta; Lepidoptera; Nymphalidae
Exons: 3
Source: RefSeq, a predicted model, not a curated record